CACGUCAGAGCGCUUUGCAGACGUGGACACAAAUCGCACUUCAGAUGGCGCAAUUUGUUGCCUUGUCAGCAAAGCGCACUGACGUGG
Gossypium hirsutum (cotton) is the source of this 87-nucleotide non-coding RNA. The record is from Rfam. NCBI's taxonomy places the organism in Eukaryota, Viridiplantae, Streptophyta, Magnoliopsida, Malvales, Malvaceae.